This 518-nucleotide ribosomal RNA is filed under the name uncultured bacterium. Its description in RNAcentral is "bacterial SSU rRNA". It matches the Rfam family "Bacterial small subunit ribosomal RNA", at positions 27 to 518 of the family's 1533-position model. The record is from RNAcentral.
GGACGAACGCUGGCGGCGUGCCUAAUACAUGCAAGUCGAACGGUCUUUCUAUGGAAGCUUGCUCCACUGAGAAGAUAGUGGCGAACGGGUGAGUAACACGUGGGUAACCUGCCCAUAAGAGGGGGGAUAACAUCCGGAAACGGGUGCUAAUACCGCAUAGUCUUCUUGAUCGCAUGAUCGGGAAAGGGAAGACGGCCUUUGUGCUGUCGCUUAUGGAUGGACCCGCGGCGUAUUAGUUAGUUGGUGAGGUAACGGCUCACCAAGACGAUGAUACGUAGCCGACCUGAGAGGGUGAUCGGCCACAUUGGGACUGAGACACGGCCCAAACUCCUACGGGAGGCAGCAGUAGGGAAUCUUCCGCAAUGGACGAAAGUCUGACGGAGCAACGCCGCGUGAGUGAAAGAAGGUUUUCGGAUCGUAAAACUCUGUUGUCAGAGAAGAACAAGUUGGAGAGUAACUGCUCCAGCCUUGACGGUAUCUGACCAGAAAGCCACGGCUAACUACGUGCCAGCCGCCGC